UGACUUGUUUAUUUCUUCGGAUUCUUAUGCAGCCAGACACUUGGCAUUCACUGCCCACUCUCCCCCUAAUUCUUUAAUUUCCCCAAAGCCAAGUUACCAGUGCUUCCCACGGCCAUCACCUCACCCCCAAUGAACUCCACUAUUUCUUUGACCGAGAGAGACACAGCGAGAGAGGGAACACAAGCAGGGGGAGCAGGAGAGGGAGAAGCAGGCUUCCCGUGGAGCAGGGAGCCCGAUGUGGGGCUCGAUCCCGGGACCCUGGGAUCAUGACCUGAGCUGAAGGCAGACGCUUAACGACUGAGCCACCCAGGCACCCCACGUGAUGUCGUUUGAUUGGACAAUUUAGUUCACUUACAUUUAAAGUAAUUAUUAACAAAAACAAGAAAGGCAUCACAGAUACGUCUCUAGUAAUGCUACAAGACAGGAACCACAAUAACAACAAAUGAAGCAAGUCACCAGGUCCAACCCACACUUAAGAGGAAGGCAUUAUGUGAAGGAGUGAAAACCAAGAGGCAAAAUUACUGGGAACCUUGUCAGAAGCUGCCUGCAAUAGAUGUAUAUUGAAGGUAAGGAGAGGGUCAGAACCACGGAAAUGUAAAAUUUUCUGAUUGAAAUGAAAAGGCCCUGUAAAUCUAGCCAUCCACAUGCUGCCUGAAUUCCUGAUAUAGCUCCCUGCCACGUAGCUUAUCAUUCUACAUCUGCACAAUGAUAUGGUUAGAAAUGGUGUCCUUGUUAUACUUGGGCUAGAAACCACCUGCUUGUAACAUUCAUCCAUGACCAUGCAGGCACCCUAUAACCUGUGAGAAUGGUGGAAAGGUCAGAAGAUUCAA
Molecule: long non-coding RNA, 830 nt
Organism: Mirounga angustirostris (Northern elephant seal)
Lineage: Eukaryota; Metazoa; Chordata; Mammalia; Carnivora; Phocidae
Exons: 3
Source: RefSeq, a predicted model, not a curated record